This is a long non-coding RNA of Nyctereutes procyonoides (raccoon dog), 2737 nucleotides long. RefSeq lists it as uncharacterized. The record is from RefSeq and is a predicted model, not a curated record. NCBI's taxonomy places the organism in Eukaryota, Metazoa, Chordata, Mammalia, Carnivora, Canidae. The transcript is spliced from 4 exons.
GUAAACAGCUCAAAAAAAAAAAAAAAGUAAGUAAAUAAAACCCGCAAGAUUUAAAGAGUUAGAAACAGGUUGAGAAAAAGAGCCGAAAGAUCAGAGUCCCACUUCUACCCUCCUUCCUCCCAGGUUAUUGACUACUGCUGAUGGAUGAGGCGAAAUACUCACAGUGCCACGAAGAAAUGAAUUCGCUGGUACUGCCAGGAGAAGAGACCAGCGCGGCUAAAAUAGGCGAUGACCAUGGACAAGAGAUACUGGCGGAAAGAGGAGAAAAGCCGUCAUAGAAGGGUCCCAUCCUGGGAGAGGAAGACCAGUGAGGAAAAACGAAUAAGGUUGGAGGGUGCUGUUCCUACCGAGCAGCCUGUUGAACGCCUCGUGGUGCUCAGGGAGCACUGAAGAUACCCGCUGUCUCUUCAGCUUCAUCUUGAGUCCCCUCAGUGUCUCCACCACCCAGAUGUCGUUGGCCUCAGGGGCUGUCUCCUCGUCGGAUUCGAUGUCUCUCUUCCUUCCGCGGGACUGAGGCAAGGGGCAGGGGUCUACAAAGGGGGCUGAGUGAAGAAACCAGGCUACAGUACGAAGCUUCUUCUGUCUUUGGAAUUCAGCCACGCUUUCCACACCCGCAAACCCAAACUCCCUCUUCAUUCUCUGUAGCCUCAUAGAUGAUUGGCCUCUCCAAAACCACCUUUCAUCUUUGUCCUUCAUUCAUAUGCAUUUGCCCCCAUUCAUCUUUGCCACUGUUUCAUACCUCCCACCACGCCCUCAAAACUCUUCCUCGUAGAUCAUUUCUCCCAUGAGGAUAAUGGGAUAAUGUCCUCUCUUCCUUUCUCUCAUCUUUGGAUCUCAUCACCUAACCCUCCUUCCUUGCUUCCUGGGUUUUCCUGCCAGUGGGAUACCCUUGUCCCCGGCUCCCGUGCUCUCUUCUCCAAUCCCUGGCUUUCUGAAUCUCUCCUGUCACGUGCAGUCUAGUCAGACACACCUUCCUGGCUUCUGUACCCAUUUGUACUCACUAGUCAAGCCUGUCAAGGCUUCUCCCUCCUGCUUCUCCCUCCUGCCUCCUCACCUGAUGGUCCUGGGCUUUCUUCAUCUACCACGGCCUCCGGGGGGUACCCUGAUGUGCUAGGCUGGGGGCUCUGGCCCUCAGACUGGGCGGACGGUUGACAACUGGCCAUGAUUUCUCCCAAGCUCUUUGCGCCCUCCCAGGAGACUCAGACCCUCCUCUUCUCAAACUCCCCUUCUGGCUUCUGGGUGAACCCAAGCCCUGUUAUCCCUUCUCUAAGCUGGGGCCAAGCUAGGAGUAUGGACAUGCUCUGCGAAGAUGCUCUUGUCCACCUCCGUUGCCAAGAACCACGGAGUCCAGUCUUUCCAAUCAGGAAGGUCAGAAGCCUCUGAUGUCAUGCACCAUUCCAGCCUGGCAGCCAUUUUGAAGGAAGACACGUGCAACUGCGAGACCGAGGUCCACUUCUGGAGUUCAGGAUCAAGGCUAUCUCAAGUCGCCGAUCCGGCCUGCAGCCAUCCUCCAAAACGGUCCUCGGGGUGUCUGGAUCACUCUACUCCUCUCCAGCAGAUGCGGGGCUCUCUGCAUCCUUCUAUUCCUGUUUCAGGGUGCAGUCUGGCAGGAGAGGGAGGAAACAGACGAGGGAAGACCUCGAGACGCCCUAGGAAGACGGCUUGCAGUGCUAACUCACAGAACAGAAUUCUGGGAUGGGGAGACGGGAAGAGGUUCUGGAUACCGACUUCGAAGAUCUGGUGUCUGAAGCUCAGUAUUAAAGGGAAAAUCUGGACACAAACAUCCAAGUAGAGAGAAGAGAGUGUGAUGACACAGGGAGAGAAGACUGACAUCUACCAGCCAGGGAGGGAGGAUGCAAGAGCCCCUCCCCCACAGCACUCAGAAGGAACCAGCCCUGCCCACACCUGAAUCUCAGACUCCCAGCCUCCAGAACAGUGAGAGAAUGUAUUUUUGUCGUGCCCACACCUGAAUCUCAGACUCCCAGCCUCCAGAACAGUGAGACCAUGCAUUUUUGUCGUGAACGCCUGAAAGCUGCCUGGUUUGUCUUACUUUGUUACAGCUUCCCUGUAGGCAGAUCCAACCAGUAUUUUUGAAGAAGAGGGAAUUCAGAUUUGACAGUCACUUUCCUGAUCCUUCUGCUGCCCCUUUCCCUAAGGCAAGACGCGUCCAUGUCCAGAGGCUUCAAAGAAGAACCGGUUCUUUCACACAGAUUAGAACCUUGAAUGCCUCUGGCAUUUCCUGGUCAAGGUGACUGUGUUCAUUUUGGAAAACAAGGUGGAAAGACUUCAAGAGAAGAAUGAUUUACAAAUCUUGAAGAUGGGUGCCAGUUAGCUUAAUAAAACUGAUGCAUUAAAGAGAGAAAAAUAAACGGGAGCAAACCGAGGCGACUACUUAGGAAAUUAAGGGUGGGAAAGGCUUCUUCAAAGACAGUGUCUAAGCAGAUGAAAAGUAUGAAGAGGAAGUGAACGAUUUGAACACAGAAACAAUAUCCAUAUGACAGAAAAUAAAGUAAAACAUUAGGUUACAAAGAUCAAUGACUUGGGUCGCCUGGGUGGCUUUGCAGUUUGGUCGCUGCCUUCUGGCCAGGGCAUGGUCCUGGGGUCCCGAGAUCCAGAUUGGCCCCCGUCGGGCUCCCCUUGGGGAGCCGGCUUCUCCCUCCACCUGUGUCUCUGCCUCUCUGUGUGCGUCUCUCAUGAAUGAAUGAAUGAAUAAAGCUCGAUGAUAAAUUGGGAGAAA